CGAGGUGUGGCCCAGAUGGUUAGGGCGCUGGUCUGGGGGACCAGAGGCCGUCAGUUCGAGUCUGAUCACCUCGA
This 74-nucleotide transfer RNA is filed under the name Lachnospiraceae bacterium. RNAcentral describes it as "tRNA-Pro". It matches the Rfam family "tRNA". Rfam says of the family: Transfer RNA (tRNA) molecules are approximately 80 nucleotides in length. Their secondary structure includes four short double-helical elements and three loops (D, anti-codon, and T loops). RNAcentral also lists the same sequence under 2 other names. Lineage: Bacteria; Bacillati; Bacillota; Clostridia; Lachnospirales; Lachnospiraceae. The record is from RNAcentral.